RNAcentral lists this ribosomal RNA (208 nucleotides) under uncultured bacterium. RNAcentral's name for it is "partial 16S ribosomal RNA". It matches the Rfam family "Bacterial small subunit ribosomal RNA", at positions 568 to 774 of the family's 1533-position model. The record is from RNAcentral.
CGCGUAGGCGGGUUUAUAAGUCGAUUGUGAAAUCCCCAGGCUCAACCUGGGAACUGCAGUCGAAACUGCAAAUCUUGAAUGUUCGAGGGGUUGGUGGAAUUCUAGGUGUAGAAGUGAAAUUCGUAGAUAUCUGGAGGAACACCGGAGGCGAAGGCGGCCAACUGGCGAAACAUUGACGCUGAGGCGCGAAAGCGUGGGGAAGCAAACA